CCGUCGAUAGCUCAGUUGGCAGAGCGGUGGACUGUAGAUCAAUAGGUCGCUGGUUCGACUCCGGCUCGACGGA
This 73-nucleotide transfer RNA is filed under the name Argiope bruennichi. RNAcentral's name for it is "transfer RNA tyrosine (anticodon GUA)". It matches the Rfam family "tRNA". From Rfam's summary of the family: Transfer RNA (tRNA) molecules are approximately 80 nucleotides in length. Their secondary structure includes four short double-helical elements and three loops (D, anti-codon, and T loops). Lineage: Eukaryota; Metazoa; Arthropoda; Arachnida; Araneae; Araneidae. RNAcentral also lists the same sequence under 1 other name. The record is from RNAcentral.